GUAGUCUGCAACCCGACUACAUGAAGCCGGAAUCGCUAGUAAUCGCGGAUCAGAAUGCCGCGGUGAAUACGUUCCCGGGUCUUGUACACACCGCCCGUCACACCAUGGGAGCCGGAAAUGCCCGAAGUCUGUGGCCCAACCUUAACAGGGGGGAGCAGCCGAAGGCAGGUCCGGUGACUGGGGUGAAGUCGUAACAAGGUAGC
Molecule: ribosomal RNA, 203 nt
Filed under: uncultured bacterium
Lineage: Bacteria
Description: partial 16S ribosomal RNA
Rfam family: Bacterial small subunit ribosomal RNA
Source: RNAcentral